GGGCGCUUGGUCUAGGGGUAUGAUUUUCGCUUCGCAUUAACCAAAAUGUCUGUGAAAGGUCGUGGGUUCAAUUCCCACAGCGUCCA
Molecule: non-coding RNA, 86 nt
Organism: Dothidotthia symphoricarpi CBS 119687
Lineage: Eukaryota; Fungi; Ascomycota; Dothideomycetes; Pleosporales; Dothidotthiaceae
Source: the annotation of a RefSeq genome assembly